GACGAACGCUGGCGGCGUGCCUAAUACAUGCAAGUCGAGCGGACGAAUCGAAAGCUUGCUUUUGAUUCGUUAGCGGCGGACGGGUGAGUAACACGUGGGCAACCUGCCCUGUAGACGGGGAUAACACCGAGAAAUCGGUGCUAAUACCGGAUAACACGAAAUGUCGCAUGACGUUUCGUUGAAAGACGGCGCAAGCUGUCGCUACAGGAUGGGCCCGCGGCGCAUUAGCUAGUUGGUGAGGGAACGGCUCACCAAGGCGACGAUGCGUAGCCGACCUGAGAGGGUGAUCGGCCACACUGGGACUGAGACACGGCCCAGACUCCUACGGGAGGCAGCAGUAGGGAAUCUUCCGCAAUGGACGAAAGUCUGACGGAGCAACGCCGCGUGAGCGAAGAAGGCCUUCGGGUCGUAAAGCUCUGUUGUUAGGGAAGAACAAGUAACGCAGUAACUGGCGUUACCGUGACGGUACCUAACGAGAAAGCCACGGCUAACUACGUG
RNAcentral lists this ribosomal RNA (498 nucleotides) under uncultured bacterium. RNAcentral describes it as "partial 16S ribosomal RNA". It matches the Rfam family "Bacterial small subunit ribosomal RNA", at positions 28 to 507 of the family's 1533-position model. The record is from RNAcentral.